AGCGAACGCUGGCGGCAGGCUUAACACAUGCAAGUCGAGCGGGCACUUUCGGGUGUCCGCGGCGGACGGGUGCGUAACGCGUGGGAACGUGCCCUCUGGUUCGGAAUAACUCAGGGAAACUUGAGCUAAUACCGGAUACGCCCUUUUGGGGAAAGGCUUGCUGCCGGAGGAUCGGCCCGCGUCUGAUUAGCUAGUUGGUGAGGUAACGGCUCACCAAGGCGACGAUCAGUAGCUGGUCUGAGAGGAUGAUCAGCCACACUGGGACUGAGACACGGCCCAGACUCCUACGGGAGGCAGCAGUGGGGAAUAUUGGACAAUGGGCGCAAGCCUGAUCCAGCCAUGCCGCGUGAGUGAUGAAGGCCUUAGGGUUGUAAAGCUCUUUUAUCCGGGACGAUAAUGACGGUACCGGAGGAAUAAGCCCCGGCUAACUUCGUG
Molecule: ribosomal RNA, 435 nt
Filed under: uncultured bacterium
Lineage: Bacteria
Description: partial 16S ribosomal RNA
Rfam family: Bacterial small subunit ribosomal RNA
Source: RNAcentral